Long non-coding RNA from Chiroxiphia lanceolata (lance-tailed manakin), 2198 nucleotides. RefSeq lists it as uncharacterized. The record is from RefSeq and is a predicted model, not a curated record. The transcript is spliced from 2 exons. Lineage: Eukaryota; Metazoa; Chordata; Aves; Passeriformes; Pipridae.
GUGUAUAUAUAUAUAUAUAUAUAUAUAUAUUUAUAGACAUACUGGAAUUCCGCAGCAUUCCCAGUGGUCCCUGCAGGUGCUGCUCCAGUCCCACAGCCCUGUGAAGUGCAGAGGUGCCUAACACCAGCUACCCCAGGACUGGGAGGAGCUCCAAGACCUUUUCAGAGAAAGAAGAGAAGCUGUACAUUGCAUAAGAAAAGCAGCAGAUUGAGAAAGCAAAACCAGAAAGAACACCGCCACAAGAGCUGUACACAACUUAACACUGGCCUAGCUGGAUUACAGUCACUUGUAGGAGAUAAUUGUUUGUAGCAGCAUGGGGAACCAGACUGGUGUGAAUUAUAAUUCAACAAGUAUGCUCAUGUUUAGUAACAUCCAUUGUUUUAAUUCCAUAUAAGAGUUGAAAGAGGAUUUCAUUGCUUCAAAAUAUUCACUCUCCACAAAUUUUUGUAAAUUUGGUAUGAUCUUAUAUGUUGGUGUUGAACCUCUCCUAAAGGAGAGCAUGUGCCUGCGCUCAAACACUGGGGAGUUAACAGGUACAUCAAACACACUCUGCAACAUGUCAUUUAGAAUACUAAAUAGUCUGUUUCUGUCACACUCCAUCUGAGUAAGCAACUCGAUGGAAGAAAUGUUUCCCACUUUGUAUAAUGUAUCCUACAGAACUGUAUCAUUAUCUCCAAGCAGCACUGUGUACUCGGGAGAGCUGCAUCACCUGGUGUUACAGUUCACAUUGAGAGAAAGCAGGCUUUCAAUCAUGCAUAACCAUGCCGAGUUGUUCUAUUUCUGCAACGUCAUCGAGCGUAUACUGGGUCUCUAAAAUUGUAUGGUAAAAACAUGGCAUGGCAUAGACAGUAUGCAAGGAGAAAUCCUGAAGGAAAGAGUAACUGGUAUCUGGCAACUCUGGAGUGGCUCAAGUCCAGAGAAAGAAAAGGAGCCAGUGCUCAGGAAGCCUACCUGAAAAUCAAAUUCUGCCUUAGUGCUGACACAGCCUCCUGCUUUCUCAUCGUGUGUCAAUGUGUGGGAUCUGCUCAGAGCUCUCUGUGAUCUGUGAAUUCUGUCAGAUAUGGGUGGAGGUGUCACUCGGAGUGGGCAGAGUGAAGGCUGCAGAUGAGGCUGGAAUGUGAUUGUCUCCAGAGAUACCAGAUCUAGGGUUUGGCUGAACAUCUGGUUCAAAGACAUGACAUCCCAGCAUAUGUUAUCUGCUGUGGGUGAGUUCCAGGCUCUGCCAAUUCCCAUUAGAUUUCCACCCAAAUGUUCCUGACCGUGAAGUUCUCUGUGAGAGAAGCAGCAGUGAAGGAGCACGGGGGGAAAUUGCCCAAGAACAUUCCACUGCUUGCAGGUCAUAGUUCUGCCCUUUUCCCACGCAGCCCAGAGAAACCCCUGGGGAGAACAGAAAGUGGGAAAGACAAUGGGAAGCCCACCUGCCACUGGAGGAGUAUCAAGGGAGGUGGAGAGCAGCCCAGCAGAGUGCAGGACACUCCUCUGAACCUUUGCUAGUUACAGAGACAUAAAGCUGAAUGUUCAUCUCAGAUGGCCAUGGACACAAGGAAACCUCUCUCUUCAACAGCAGGGAACUAGUUUGUUCAUUCCACAGAUCUCCUGAACCUUCCCUUCCCACAGCUCAGCUCACAUUUUGAAUAGGCAUUGUCAGCAUGGUUUUGUUAAGCAUAUCUUGUUUUAUGCAGGAUGAUGACUAAAGCCAGUGCACCAGACAGAGGAAGGUUGCUGGGCACCAGGAUUUUAGAAGGUUUUGUAAAUUUAAAAAUAUUCAGUACCUGGAAGUGAAAGUGCAUAAAGGGCAAAAUACCUGAAAUUUCACUUGCUAGUAACACUCUUCAACAGUGAUAAAGCGAAAUUAUGGUGCUGGGAUCACAAUAGGCAGUAUAGGAAUAUUUUAAUCUUAUGCACAGUGAAAAAUGUACAUCUGAACCUGAAACACAUUUGUGGGUCUCAUUUUAAACUGACUGUUGUCUGUCUGGAGCUUGACAUCUCUACUGCAGUUUGACAUAGGACUUUCCAAGAAAAGAUAUCACGUAGUUGUUUUACAUAGUAUUUUAAGGAAAGGGGUUCGAUUUACACAGAAACAGCCUGUAACUUAUGCCCUGACAUCCUUCAGACAAACACUUCAUGUUUUUCAAAGAUGACAUUUAAUGGAAAAUAAUGUAACCCUGACUUCCAAUAAAGUAAAACGUGCAUAUAUA